GGCUCAGAUUGAACGCUGGCGGCAGGCCUAACACAUGCAAGUCGAACGGUAACAGGAAGCAGCUUGCUGCUUUGCUGACGAGUGGCGGACGGGUGAGUAAUGUCUGGGAAACUGCCUGAUGGAGGGGGAUAACUACUGGAAACGGUGGCUAAUACCGCAUAACGUCGCAAGACCAAAGAGGGGGACCUUCGGGCCUCUUGCCAUCAGAUGUGCCCAGAUGGGAUUAGCUUGUUGGUGAGGUAACGGCUCACCAAGGCGACGAUCCCUAGCUGGUCUGAGAGGAUGACCAGCCACACUGGAACUGAGACACGGUCCAGACUCCUACGGGAGGCAGCAGUGGGGAAUAUUGCACAAUGGGCGCAAGCCUGAUGCAGCCAUGCCGCGUGUAUGAAGAAGGCCUUCGGGUUGUAAAGUACUUUCAGCGGGGAGGAAGGUGUUGCGGUUAAUAACCGCAGCAAUUGACGUUACCCGCAGAAGAAGCACCGGCUAACUCCGUGCCAGCAGCCGCGGUAAUACGGAGGGUGCAAGCGUUAAUCGGAAUUACUGGGCGUAAAGCGCACGCAGGCGGUCUGUCAAGUCGGAUGUGAAAUCCCCGGGCUCAACCUGGGAACUGCAUUCGAAACUGGCAGGCUUGAGUCUUGUAGAGGGGGGUAGAAUUCCAGGUGUAGCGGUGAAAUGCGUAGAGAUCUGGAGGAAUACCGGUGGCGAAGGCGGCCCCCUGGACAAAGACUGACGCUCAGGUGCGAAAGCGUGGGGAGCAAACAGGAUUAGAUACCCUGGUAGUCCACGCCGUAAACGAUGUCUACUUGGAGGUUGUGCCCUUGAGGCGUGGCUUCCGGAGCUAACGCGUUAAGUAGACCGCCUGGGGAGUACGGCCGCAAGGUUAAAACUCAAAUGAAUUGACGGGGGCCCGCACAAGCGGUGGAGCAUGUGGUUUAAUUCGAUGCAACGCGAAGAACCUUACCUGGUCUUGACAUCCACAGAAGAAUCCAGAGAUGGAUUUGUGCCUUCGGGAACUGUGAGACAGGUGCUGCAUGGCUGUCGUCAGCUCGUGUUGUGAAAUGUUGGGUUAAGUCCCGCAACGAGCGCAACCCUUAUCCUUUGUUGCCAGCGAUUAGGUCGGGAACUCAAAGGAGACUGCCAGUGAUAAACUGGAGGAAGGUGGGGAUGACGUCAAGUCAUCAUGGCCCUUACGACCAGGGCUACACACGUGCUACAAUGGCGCAUACAAAGAGAAGCGACCUCGCGAGAGCAAGCGGACCUCAUAAAGUGCGUCGUAGUCCGGAUUGGAGUCUGCAACUCGACUCCAUGAAGUCGGAAUCGCUAGUAAUCGUGGAUCAGAAUGCCACGGUGAAUACGUUCCCGGGCCUUGUACACACCGCCCGUCACACCAUGGGAGUGGGUUGCAAAAGAAGUAGGUAGCUUAACCUUCGGGAGGGCGCUUACCACUUUGUGAUUCAUGACUGGGGAGAAGUCGUAACAAGGU
This 1486-nucleotide ribosomal RNA is filed under the name uncultured bacterium. RNAcentral describes it as "bacterial SSU rRNA". It matches the Rfam family "Bacterial small subunit ribosomal RNA". The record is from RNAcentral.